Molecule: ribosomal RNA, 700 nt
Filed under: uncultured bacterium
Lineage: Bacteria
Description: bacterial SSU rRNA
Rfam family: Bacterial small subunit ribosomal RNA
Source: RNAcentral
AGAGUUUGAUCAUGGCUCAGAACGAACACUGGCGGCAUGGAUUAGGCAUGCAAGUCGAACGAGAACGUUCCCUUCGGGGAGCUAGUAUAGUGGCGAACGGGUGAGUAACGGGUGGAAAACCUGCCCUUCAAUGGGGGAUAACAGUUCUAACGAGCUGCUAAUACCGCAUACGACCUUCGGUCCGCAUGUUCCGAAGGUGAAAGGUGGCCUCUCUUUGAAGCUGCCGUUGAAGGAUGGUUCCGCCUCCCAUUAGCUUGUUGGUGGGGUAAUGGCCUACCAAGGCGACGAUGGGUAGCCGGCCUGAGAGGGUGUCCGGCCACACUGGGACUGAGAUACGGCCCAGACUCCUACGGGAGGCAGCAGUCGAGAAGCUUCGGCAAUGGGCGAAAGCCUGACCGAGCGAUGCCGCGUGAGUGAAGAAGGCCCUAUGGGUUGUAAAGCUCUGUCAGAUUGGGAAGAAAAUCCUACGGUUAAUACCCGUGGGACUUGACGGUACCAUCAGAGGAAGCACCGGCUAACUCCGUGCCAGCAGCCGCGGUAAUACGGAGGGUGCAAGCGUUGUUCGGAUUCACUGGGUAUAAAGGGUGCGCAGGCGGCCCGAUAAGUCAGGGGUGAAAUAUGACGGCUCAACCGUCAAACUGCCCCUGAAACUGUCAGGCUUGAGUUCGAGAGAGGUAGGUGGAAUUCCAGGUGUAGCGGU